RNAcentral lists this ribosomal RNA (631 nucleotides) under uncultured Bacilli bacterium. RNAcentral describes it as "bacterial SSU rRNA". It matches the Rfam family "Bacterial small subunit ribosomal RNA", at positions 93 to 712 of the family's 1533-position model. The record is from RNAcentral. Lineage: Bacteria; Bacillati; Bacillota; Bacilli.
GAGUUGCGAACGGGUGAGUAACGCGUAGGUAACCUGCCUCUUAGCGGGGGAUAACUAUUGGAAACGAUAGCUAAUACCGCAUAAAAGUCGACAUUGCAUGAUGUUGACUUGAAAGGUGCAACUGCACCACUAAGAGAUGGACCUGCGUUGUAUUAGCUAGUUGGUGAGGUAACGGCUCACCAAGGCGACGAUACAUAGCCGACCUGAGAGGGUGAUCGGCCACACUGGGACUGAGACACGGCCCAGACUCCUACGGGAGGCAGCAGUAGGGAAUCUUCGGCAAUGGGGGCAACCCUGAUCGAGCAACGCCGCGUGAGUGAAGAAGGUUUUCGGAUCGUAAAGCUCUGUUGUAAGAGAAGAACGAGUGUGAGAGUGGAAAGUUCACGCUGUGACGGUAUCUUACCAGAAAGGGACGGCUAACUACGUGCCAGCAGCCGCGGUAAUACGUAGGUCCCGAGCGUUAUCCGGAUUUAUUGGGCGUAAAGCGAGCGCAGGCGGUUAGAUAAGUCUGAAGUUAAAGGCUGUGGCUUAACCAUAGUACGCUUUGGAAACUGUUUAACUUGAGUGCAGAAGGGGAGAGUGGAAUUCCAUGUGUAGCGGUGAAAUGCGUAGAUAUAUGGAGGAACACCGG